Molecule: long non-coding RNA, 302 nt
Filed under: Lathyrus oleraceus (garden pea)
Lineage: Eukaryota; Viridiplantae; Streptophyta; Magnoliopsida; Fabales; Fabaceae
Description: Pisum sativum (pea) long non-coding RNA (PSAT_LNC029538)
Source: RNAcentral
GGUUGAAUUCGAGUAAGUGCACUAUCAGAGUGUGGUCCGGUAAAUCGUUGGGGUUCAUUAUAAGUGUCAGAGAGGAAUCGAGGUUGCUCCUGCUUAAAAAAUAAAAAAAUAAAAAAAUAAAAAAAAUAAAAAAUAAAAAAAAUGCCUGAACCGAGGGAAUAGAAGAGAGGUUCGUGGUUUCAUAGAUAGAUUGAACUACCUGUCAUGGUUCACAUCUCAUCUAACAGCCACGUGUGAACCCACAUUCGAGAUGUUGAAAAAAAAACGGUCAGGUGAAAUAAUGAUUGCCAAGGGGCAUUGAA